GCUGAUGUAGCUCAGAAGGUAGAGCAAUUGAUUUGUAAUCAAUAGGUCGUGGGUUCGAUCCCCUCCAUCAGCUCCA
Molecule: transfer RNA, 76 nt
Filed under: Oscillospiraceae bacterium
Lineage: Bacteria; Bacillati; Bacillota; Clostridia; Eubacteriales; Oscillospiraceae
Description: tRNA-Thr
Rfam family: tRNA
About the family: Transfer RNA (tRNA) molecules are approximately 80 nucleotides in length. Their secondary structure includes four short double-helical elements and three loops (D, anti-codon, and T loops).
Source: RNAcentral